RNAcentral lists this ribosomal RNA (467 nucleotides) under uncultured bacterium. RNAcentral describes it as "partial 16S ribosomal RNA". It matches the Rfam family "Bacterial small subunit ribosomal RNA", at positions 28 to 506 of the family's 1533-position model. The record is from RNAcentral.
GACGAACGCUGGCGGCGUGCUUAACACAUGCAAGUCGAACGGAAAGGCCCUGCUUUUGUGGGGUGCUCGAGUGGCGAACGGGUGAGUAACACGUGAGUAACCUGCCCUUGACUUUGGGAUAACUUCAGGAAACUGGGGCUAAUACCGGAUAGGAGCUCCUGCUGCAUGGUGGGGGUUGGAAAGUUUCGGCGGUUGGGGAUGGACUCGCGGCUUAUCAGCUUGUUGGUGGGGUAGUGGCUUACCAAGGCUUUGACGGGUAGCCGGCCUGAGAGGGUGACCGGCCACAUGGGGACUGAGAUACGGCCCAGACUCCUACGGGAGGCAGCAGUGGGGAAUAUUGCACAAUGGGCGGAAGCCGGAUGCAGCAACGCCGCGUGCGGGAGGACGGCCUUCGGGUUGUAAACCGCUUUCGCCUGUGACGAAGCGUGAGUGACGGUAAUGGGGAAAGAAGCACCGGCUAACUACGU